This 273-nucleotide ribosomal RNA is filed under the name uncultured bacterium. Its description in RNAcentral is "partial 16S ribosomal RNA". It matches the Rfam family "Bacterial small subunit ribosomal RNA", at positions 793 to 1055 of the family's 1533-position model. The record is from RNAcentral.
GUCCUAGCCGUAAACUUUGGAUACUAGGUGUGGGAGGUAUCGACCCCUCCCGUGCCGCAGCUAACGCAUUAAGUAUCCCGCCUGGGGAGUACGGUCGCAAGACUGAAACUCAAAAGAAUUGACGGGGGCCCGCACAAGCUGUGGAGCAUGUGGUUUAAUUCGACGCAACGCGAAGAACCUUACCAGGGUUUGACAUGUAGGUAGUAGGAACCCGAAAGGGGGACGAUUCCGUAGUAAUACGGAAAGCUUACACAGGUGCUGCAUGGCUGUCGU